GACGAACGCUGGCGGCGUGCCUAAUACAUGCAAGUCGAACGCUGAAGGAGGAGCUUGCUUCUCUGGAUGAGUUGCGAACGGGUGAGUAACGCGUAGGUAACCUGCCUGGUAGCGGGGGAUAACUAUUGGAAACGAUAGCUAAUACCGCAUAAUAGUAGAUGUUGCAUGACAUUUGCUUAAAAGGUGCAAUUGCAUCACUACCAGAUGGACCUGCGUUGUAUUAGCUAGUUGGUGAGGUAACGGCUCACCAAGGCAACGAUACAUAGCCGACCUGAGAGGGUGAUCGGCCACACUGGGACUGAGACACGGCCCAGACUCCUACGGGAGGCAGCAGUAGGGAAUCUUCGGCAAUGGACGGAAGUCUGACCGAGCAACGCCGCGUGAGUGAAGAAGGGUUUCGGAUCGUAAAGCUCUGUUGUAAGAGAAGAACGAGUGUGAGAGUGGAAAGUUCACACUGUGACGGUAUCUUACCAGAAAGGGACGGCUAACUACGUG
Molecule: ribosomal RNA, 495 nt
Filed under: uncultured bacterium
Lineage: Bacteria
Description: partial 16S ribosomal RNA
Rfam family: Bacterial small subunit ribosomal RNA
Source: RNAcentral